This 433-nucleotide ribosomal RNA is filed under the name uncultured bacterium. Its description in RNAcentral is "partial 16S ribosomal RNA". It matches the Rfam family "Bacterial small subunit ribosomal RNA", at positions 29 to 507 of the family's 1533-position model. The record is from RNAcentral.
AACGAACGCUGGCGGCAUGCCUAACACAUGCAAGUCGAACGAGACCUUCGGGUCUAGUGGCGCACGGGUGCGUAACGCGUGGGAACCUGCCCUUAGGUUCGGAAUAACUCCCCGAAAGGGGUGCUAAUACCGGAUAAUGUCUUCGGACCAAAGAUUUAUCGCCUUUGGAUGGGCCCGCGUUGGAUUAGCUAGUUGGUAGGGUAAAAGCCUACCAAGGCGACGAUCCAUAGCUGGUCUGAGAGGAUGAUCAGCCACACUGGGACUGAGACACGGCCCAGACUCCUACGGGAGGCAGCAGUGGGGAAUAUUGGACAAUGGGCGAAAGCCUGAUCCAGCAGUGCCGCGUGAGUGGUGAAGGCGCUAGGGUUGUAAAGCUCUUUUAGCCGGGAUGAUAAUGACAGUACCGGGAGAAUAAGCUCCGGCUAACUCCGUG